GUGGGGAAUUUUGGACAAUGGGCGCAAGCCUGAUCCAGCAAUGCCGCGUGCAGGAAGAAGGCCUUCGGGUUGUAAACUGCUUUUGUACGGAACGAAACGGUCCGGGUUAAUACCCUGGGCUAAUGACGGUACCGUAAGAAUAAGCACCGGCUAACUACGUGCCAGCAGCCGCGGUAAUACGUAGGGUGCAAGCGUUAAUCGGAAUUACUGGGCGUAAAGCGUGCGCAGGCGGUUUUGUAAGACAGGCGUGAAAUCCCCGGGCUCAACCUGGGAAUUGCGGUUGUGACUGCAAGGCUGGAGUGCGGCAGAGGGGGAUGGAAUUCCGCGUGUAGCAGUGAAAUGCGUAGAUAUGCGGAGGAACACCGAUGGCGAAGGCAAUCCCCUGGGCCUGCACUGACGCUCAUGCACGAAAGCGUGGGGAGCAAACAGGAUUAGAUACCCGGGUAGUCC
Molecule: ribosomal RNA, 450 nt
Filed under: uncultured bacterium
Lineage: Bacteria
Description: bacterial SSU rRNA
Rfam family: Bacterial small subunit ribosomal RNA
Source: RNAcentral